This 406-nucleotide long non-coding RNA is filed under the name Gallus gallus (chicken). Its description in RNAcentral is "lncRNA (ENSGALG00010000430.1)". Lineage: Eukaryota; Metazoa; Chordata; Aves; Galliformes; Phasianidae. The record is from RNAcentral.
GUUGUUGUGUAGUUGUGUAGUUGUGUAGUUCAUUGUGCUGAUGUUGUGUAGUUGUUGUGUAGUUGUGUUGUGCAGUUGUAGUGUUGUUGUGCAGUUGUAGUGUUGUUGUUGCAGUUUGUUGUUGUGUAGUUGUGUUGUUGUUGUGUUGUACAGUUGUUGUGUUGUGUAGUUGUUGUGUAGUUGUGUUGUAGUGUUGUAGUGUAGUUGUGUUGUUAUUGUGUUGUGUAGUUGUGUAGUUGUUGUGUAGUUGUGUUGUGCAGUUGUAGUGUUGUUGUGCAGUUGUGUUGUUGUGCAGUUGUUGUGUUGUUGUGUUGUUUUGUUGUGUCAUUCUGCAGUUGUGUAGUUGUGUUGUGUCAUUCUGUAGUUGUUGUGUUGUUGUGUUGUUGUGCAGUUGUUGUGUUGUUGU